This 378-nucleotide long non-coding RNA is filed under the name Mytilus galloprovincialis (Mediterranean mussel). The record is from RNAcentral. Lineage: Eukaryota; Metazoa; Mollusca; Bivalvia; Mytilida; Mytilidae.
UGGGGUAAGUAUGGACAAAACAUUCAAGCUGGAUGCAGCUCUAAAUUUGGAUUGUGAUUAAAUAGAUGACACAGCAUAGGUUUCUGACACAGAAUGAAUGUGGUCUAAUGAACUUAAAAUACUUUUUUUUCCUUUGAGCAAUUCACUAUGCUGUUGAAUAUUAAUCCUCUCAAAAAAAUGUUUGAAGAAAUUUUCUUUUUAUUUAUGAAAUCUGAAAUGAGAAAAAUUAACCCCCCCCCCCCCCCCCCCCCCAAUUUUUUUUUCAGAUCCCCCUUUCCCUUUUCCAAAACUGAUCUCAAUUCAAAUUUCUAAUGGAGUUUGCAACAAUAACUACUCAUUUAAAUACAUCAUGAAAUAUUAAAAUUUAACAAAAGGUGC